AAUGAUAUAUGUGAUAUUGAUUGCAUGAGUCAUACCAACGUUAAUCACAUGAAACAUCGACAUGGUAGUACUAAUCGUAAUAACGUACAUACUGUACAUACUUUAUAUAAUAUGCAUAAUACACACAGUAAUAGUAGCAACGCACAUAGUGAUACUAGUCACAUUCUUAGUUCGAAUUUUGAUUUAGACAGUUUAGUAUAUGGUAUGAAUAAUAUGAGCAUAUCUGAAACUAACAAAAUAAACUCAGACGAAAAUAGUAAAAGUAUUUUUUAUGCCUUAAACAAAUUAAACAACAAUGAACAGUUAUUAGAAUUUGAAAAAACAAUGAUUGAAGAAUGUAAAGAAGAAAAAAUAAAUACAUUUGACUCGGAACAAUUGAAUGGUGAAUAUUAUUUACGAUAUGGUAGUAACCCAGCUUACAAUUUAAAAAAAAUAUUUUUAAAUAACAAUAAUAAUAGUAAUAGUAGUAAUAGCAGUAAUAAUAAUAAUAACGUGGUAUAUGAACAAACAAACAAAAUUAACGAACUAAAGAAUGAACAACUAAUUGGUCCAAAAACUGGUCAUAAUAAAUAUAUAAAUGACAGUAGUAAUACUAAUGAUACGAUAAAUAAUUAUUUAUUUAAUAAUGAUUAUAAUUUGUUGAAAGUUAAUAAUUUAUAUAAUAGUAUGAAUUGUCUUAAUACAGUUGAGAGUGUGAGGGAUUCGAUGGAAAACAUAAACAACGUUGGUGUUAGUAAUAUAGAAAAUACAAACUUUAUGGGUAGAUCAGAACAUGUAGUAGGACAUAACACUAGUAAUGACACUGUAAUGAAUAAUAGUAAUAUGACAAUAUUAAAAAAUAGUACUUACGAUUUUGAAAAGAGUAAAAAAGGAAUAAGUGGUGAUAUGAAUAACACUAUGAACGUACGAGACCUUAAACUUUUUACUAAUGUGAAUUGUGUUAAUAGUAAAAUGAAAAUAAAAAAUAACAAUAAUGAUAUGUAUAUGUAUAAUAAUAAUGAAUUUAAUCAUAGUAAUAGUAAUGUCGGUAGUGUCACUAAUAAUGUAGGAAGUAAUAACAGUGGAAAUAUAGUGGGCUCACGUGUAGUAGUAAGUAACCAAAACUGUAUGAACGAUGAAAUGCAAACUGUACAAAAAAAAAUAUUGCAAAAUGAAAUAAACGAAGAAAAUUGUAUGAACAGCAAUAACAAUAGUGCAAGUAAUAACAACUACGUAAUAUGUAACAUGAAUAAUAAUAUACAAAGAAACAUAAUUUUAAGUAAAAAAAAAAUGUUUACAAGUAAUGAUAUCCAUAUAAAUGGUACAGAAAAGUUGUUAAGUGACAUACAUAAUGAACUAGCUGAAGAUAAUACAUCUAAUGAGGUUUUAUUAACGAAUUACAAUGGUAAUAAUAAUAGUAGUAAUCAAAAUAGUAGUAAUAAUGACACAUUUUUUAAUAGCAGUUGUAAAAAACCUAGUUACAGUAACAUAUAC
This 1473-nucleotide long non-coding RNA is filed under the name Piliocolobus tephrosceles (Ugandan red Colobus). RNAcentral's name for it is "lncRNA (ENSPTEG00000015193.1)". The record is from RNAcentral. Lineage: Eukaryota; Metazoa; Chordata; Mammalia; Primates; Cercopithecidae.